Non-coding RNA from Ovis aries (sheep), 72 nucleotides. Lineage: Eukaryota; Metazoa; Chordata; Mammalia; Artiodactyla; Bovidae. The record is from Rfam.
UCCCUGGUGGCUCAGAGGUUAAAGCAUCUGCCUCCAAUGCAGAAAACCCCGGUUUGAUCCCUGGGUCAGGAA